RNAcentral lists this ribosomal RNA (511 nucleotides) under uncultured bacterium. RNAcentral's name for it is "bacterial SSU rRNA". It matches the Rfam family "Bacterial small subunit ribosomal RNA", at positions 791 to 1296 of the family's 1533-position model. The record is from RNAcentral.
UAGUCCACGCCGUAAACGAUGCACACUAGGUCGUGGGAUCUCUCAUGAUUUCGCGGCCGAAGGUAAACUGGUAAGUGUGCCGCCUGGGGAGUACGGUCGCAAGGCUAAAACUCAAAGGAAUUGACGGGGGCUCACACAAGCGGUGGAGCAUGUUGCUUAAUUCGAGGCAACGCGAAGAACCUUACCUGGGCUUGACAUGUAUGGAUUAGCUUAUGGAAACAUAAGUGACGCCCUUGGGUGGAACAUACACAGGUGCUGCAUGGCUGUCGUCAGCUCGUGCUGUGAAGUGUCGGGUUAAGUCCCUUAACGAGCGCAACCCCUAUCGUUAGUUACUAACGCGUUAUGGCGAGGACUCUAGCGAGACUGCCGGUGUCAAACCGGAGGAAGGUGGGGAUGACGUCAAGUCCACAUGGCCUUUAUGCCCAGGGAUGCAAACGUGCUACAAUGGUACGGACAAAGCGAUGCAAUACCGCGAGGUGGAGCAAAUCGCAAAAACCGUGCCCCAGUUCGG